AUACUUACCUAGCAGGGGAAAUACCAUGAUCACCAGAUCUCUUGUAGAGGUGGUUUUCCCAAGUUGAGGCCUGUCCCUUGUACUCUGGGUGUGCGGACCCCUGCUAGUUUCCCCAAAUGCAGGAAACUUGACUGCACAAUUUUGUGGCAAAGAUUUUCUUGCUU
Non-coding RNA from Alligator mississippiensis (American alligator), 164 nucleotides. The record is from Rfam. Lineage: Eukaryota; Metazoa; Chordata; Crocodylia; Alligatoridae.